AACUAUAAAAAGAAGACAUAUAAUAUCAAUACCAACCAGUAUCACCACUCACCAACCAUCGUUUUGAGUUAUCCAUGGAACCACCGGCGUCCUCCUCCACCGCCACCGCACCUUCAAAUCCGCGUAGCUACUGGCGGUGGAGCAAGCAAGAUUUCUUUCCAGAACCGUCUUUCCAAACUGGUGAAACCUACCGGAAUGCCUUAGCAAACACAUGUCCGCGUCUGAAGGACCGCCUCCUGAACCGCUCAUCGGAUUCUCACGAACUCCUCGUCCUUCCAAAAGCCAGCGAGAAUCGCAUGGCUCGUUGCCUCACCUGGUGGGACCUAACCUGGCUAGCCUUCGGUUCUGUCGUCGGUUCAGGCAUCUUCGUCGUCACCGGUCAAGAAGCUCGCGUCCAUGCCGGUCCCGCCAUUGUCCUUUCCUACGCCGCAUCCGGUUUUUCUGCUCUUCUUUCGGCUUUCAUCUACGCCGAAUUCGCCGUUGAAGUUCCGGUCGCCGGUGGAUCCUUUUCCUUCCUUCGAAUCGAACUCGGUGACUUCCUCGCUUUUGUUGCCGCCGGUAACCUCCUCCUCGAAGCUAUCGUCGGCGCCGCCGGUCUCGGCCGUUCAUGGUCAUCCUACUUCGCCACAAUGGUAAAAAACGAUUCAGAAUUCUUCCGGAUCCGAAUCGACUCUUUUAAAGACGGCUUCAACAUGCUCGAUCCAUUAGCCGUUGGAGUUCUGUUAAUCGCUAACGGAUUCGCAGCUAGCGGAACUCGAAAAACCUCUAUAUUAACUUGGAUUACUUCAAUUGCCACAACUCUGGUUAUAGCUUUCAUUAUAAUAGUUGGUUUUAUCCACGGAAAGUCGUCAAACUUAACGCCGUUUCUUCCUUACGGCGUUAAAGGCGUUUUUAACGCCGCUGCUGUUGUGUAUUGGUCAUAUACCGGUUUUGACAUGGUUGCAACUAUGGCUGAAGAAACUAAAAAACCUUCUAGAGAUAUACCUAUUGGUUUGAUAGGUUCAAUGUCGUUGAUAACAGUUAUUUAUUGUUUAAUGGCAUUGGCCCUUGUGUCAAUGGUUAAGUACAUUGAGAUUGAUGAUGGAGCUGCUUAUUCAGUUGCUUUUGUUCAAAUUGGUAUGAAUUGGGCUAAAUAUUUAGUGAGUAUUUGUGCUUUGAAAGGAAUGACAACAAGUUUGCUUGUUGGGUCAAUGGGGCAAGCUAGGUACACAACUCAAAUUGCGCGAUCGCAUAUGAUUCCACCCUUUUUCGCACGUGUUCAUCCUAAAACUGGCACACCAAUAUAUGCUACACUUUUAACGACUCUAUCGAGUUGUGUUGUUGCUCUUUUUACUAGUUUGGAUGUUCUGUCUAGUGUUUUUUCUGUGUGUACUCUUUUCAUAUUUUUGCUCAUGGCCAUUGCGUUGCUUGUUAGGAGAUAUUAUGCAAGGGAAGGAACGGAUGAUAAGAGUGAUUUUUGGAAGGUUCUUUUGUGUUUGUUUGUUGUUAUUGGUUCUUGUAUUGUUGGGACAGUGUUUUGGAAUUCGGGUUUGUUUGGUUGGAUUGGGUAUACGGUGGCUGCCUGUGUCUGGUUUUUGGCGACUUUGGUGUUGAGUUUGCUUCCAGAGAAGAGGCAACCAAAGGUUUGGGGAGCUCCGCUGGUUCCGUGGUUGCCUUCUUUGUCGAUUGCGACAAACCUUUUUCUUAUGGGAUCAUUGGGGUAUGAGGCUUUCUAUAGAUUCUUGAUUUGUACUGGUGUGAUGCUUGUGUAUUAUAUAUUUGUAGCUGUUCAUGCAACUUAUGAUGUGGAUCAUGGAAUUGGUCAAGAAUCAAAGUAUGAUGACUUAAAUUAAGGUGUCAAUUAAAGCUGUUCAUGCAACUUAUGAUGUGGAUCAUGGAAUUGGUCAAGAAUCAAAGUAUGAUGACUUAAAUUAAGGUGUCAAUUAAAGGUGUUCAUGCAACUUAUGAUGUGGAUCAUGGAAUUGGUCAAGAAUCAAAGUAUGAUGACUUAAAUUAAGGUGUCAAUUAAAGGUAACAUGUUUUCAAGUUCCAUCAAUUGAGAUGUUGUGGAUUCUCUUAUGUUGUGUUAAGAAUAGCCUUAUGUGUUGUGGAAUCAUGAAGAGUCAAGUAUUUUUAGUGGCUGGAGAACUCAUGUGUGAAAUGUGAAUCAGAACUUUGACAUUUGAAUAAUUGUUAGAUGUGAUGAAAGAGAAGUAAGUGUCCGUUGAGGGUUUUUUUAUUAAUUUUUUGAGGUCCA
Lathyrus oleraceus (garden pea) is the source of this 2236-nucleotide RNA transcript. It is a transcript of the gene named cationic amino acid transporter 8, vacuolar, with no coding region annotated. NCBI's taxonomy places the organism in Eukaryota, Viridiplantae, Streptophyta, Magnoliopsida, Fabales, Fabaceae. The record is from RefSeq and is a predicted model, not a curated record. The transcript has 3 exons.